ACUGAGGCAGAGCUCAAAUGUCUCAGCAGCUGCAGUCCAGCUGAUCACGUUUCCUACGUCUGGUUCAAGAACAAACAGGAAAUCAGCAAACAGCUACUUUCUACUGUUACAGUCAACUUUUCUCCUGGAGACAUUGUCUCCUGUGCUUUGAGAGGACAUGAGGAUCACCAGUCUCCUUCAGUGUAUCCUCCAAAGUUUCCUUCUGUAUCAGUGACUCCUUCUGCUGAGAUAGUGGAGUUCAGUUCAGUGACUGUGAACUGUAGCAGUGAUGCUAACCCAGCAGCUAACUACACCUGGUACAAGAACCAAACCCUGGUCAGUGAAGAACCACAGCUUGUCUUCAGCUCCAUCCAGUCCUCUGACUCUGGAGAGUAUCACUGUACAGCUGAGAACGUUCUGGGCACAAGAUCAUCUGAAAACAUUCAUAUCAACGUCAAAUAUCCUCCAAAGCUUCCUUCUGUAUCAGUGACUCCUUCUGCUGAGAUAGUGGAGUUCAGUUCAGUGACUGUGAACUGUAGCAG
Long non-coding RNA from Mugil cephalus (flathead mullet), 521 nucleotides. RefSeq lists it as uncharacterized. The transcript has 3 exons. NCBI's taxonomy places the organism in Eukaryota, Metazoa, Chordata, Actinopteri, Mugiliformes, Mugilidae. The record is from RefSeq and is a predicted model, not a curated record.